GUUUGAUCCUGGCUCAGGAUGAACGCUAGCUACAGGCUUAACACAUGCAAGUCGAGGGGCAGCAUGACCUAGCAAUAGGUUGAUGGCGACCGGCGCACGGGUGAGUAACACGUAUCCAACCUGCCGAUUAUUCCGGGAUAGCCUUUCGAAAGAAAGAUUAAUACUGGAUAGCAUAACGAGAAGGCAUCUUCUUGUUAUUAAAGAAUUUCGAUAAUCGAUGGGGAUGCGUUCCAUUAGUUUGUUGGCGGGGUAACGGCCCACCAAGACAUCGAUGGAUAGGGGUUCUGAGAGGAAGGUCCCCCACAUUGGAACUGAGACACGGUCCAAACUCCUACGGGAGGCAGCAGUGAGGAAUAUUGGUCAAUGGACGAGAGUCUGAACCAGCCAAGUAGCGUGAAGGAUGACUGCCCUAUGGGUUUAAACUUCUUUUAUAUGGGAAUAAAGUGAGCCACGUGUGGCUUUUUGUAUGUACCAUACGAAUAAGGAUCGGCUAACUCCGUGCCAGCAGCCGCGGUAAUACGGAGGAUCCGAGCGUUAUCCGGAUUUAUUGGGUUUAAAGGGAGCGUAGGCGGAUUAUUAAGUCAGUUGUGAAAGUUUGCGGCUCAACCGUAAAAUUGCAGUUGAUACUGGUAGUCUUGAGCGCAGCAGAGGUAGGCGGAAUUCGUGGUGUAGCGGUGAAAUGCUUAGAUAUCACGAAGAACUCCGAUUGCGAAGGCAGCUUACUGGACUGUAACUGACGCUGAUGCUCGAAAGUGUGGGUAUCAAACAGGAUUAGAUACCCUGGUAGUCCACACAGUAAACGAUGAAUACUCGCUGUUUGCGAUAUACAGCAAGCGGCCAAGCGAAAGCAUUAAGUAUUCCACCUGGGGAGUACGCCGGCAACGGUGAAACUCAAAGGAAUUGACGGGGGCCCGCACAAGCGGAGGAACAUGUGGUUUAAUUCGAUGAUACGCGAGGAACCUUACCCGGGCUUAAAUUGCAACUGACGGAUUUGGAAACAGAUCUUCCUUCGGGCAGUUGUGAAGGUGCUGCAUGGUUGUCGUCAGCUCGUGCCGUGAGGUGUCGGCUUAAGUGCCAUAACGAGCGCAACCCUUAUCUUUAGUUACUAACAGGUCAUGCUGAGGACUCUAGAGAGACUGCCGUCGUAAGAUGUGAGGAAGGUGGGGAUGACGUCAAAUCAGCACGGCCCUUACGUCCGGGGCUACACACGUGUUACAAUGGGGGGUACAGAAGGCAGCUACACAGCGAUGUGAUGCUAAUCCCAAAAGCCUCUCUCAGUUCGGAUUGGAGUCUGCAACCCGACUCCAUGAAGCUGGAUUCGCUAGUAAUCGCGCAUCAGCCACGGCGCGGUGAAUACGUUCCCGGGCCUUGUACACACCGCCCGUCAAGCCAUGAAAGCCGGGGGUACCUGAAGUACGUAACCGCAGGAGCGUCCUAGGGUAAAACUGGUAAUUGGGGCUAAGUCGUAACAAGGUAGCCGUACCGGAAGGUGCGGCUGGAACACCUCCUUUCU
RNAcentral lists this ribosomal RNA (1513 nucleotides) under Bacteroides intestinalis. Its description in RNAcentral is "16S ribosomal RNA". It matches the Rfam family "Bacterial small subunit ribosomal RNA". Lineage: Bacteria; Pseudomonadati; Bacteroidota; Bacteroidia; Bacteroidales; Bacteroidaceae. The record is from RNAcentral.